This 65-nucleotide transfer RNA is filed under the name Aleurocanthus camelliae (camellia spiny whitefly). Its description in RNAcentral is "tRNA-Arg". Lineage: Eukaryota; Metazoa; Arthropoda; Insecta; Hemiptera; Aleyrodidae. The record is from RNAcentral.
UUAUAUAGAAGUAAAUUUACAAUUAAUUUCGACUUAAUAGUUAAGGCUUACUGCCUUCGUAUAAG